GGCUUAACACAUGCAAGGUCGAGGGGCAGCAUUGGAGUAGCAAUACUCAGAUGGCGACCGGCGCACGGGUGAGUAACACGUAUCCAACCUGCCGCUUACUCGGGGAUAGCCUUUCGAAAGAAAGAUUAAUACCCGAUGGUAUAAAGAGUUCGCAUGUUCUCUUUAUUAAAGAAUUUCGGUAAGCGAUGGGGAUGCGUUCCAUUAGAUAGUUGGCGGGGUAACGGCCCACCAAGUCUACGAUGGAUAGGGGUUCUGAGAGGAAGGUCCCCCACAUUGGAACUGAGACACGGUCCAAACUCCUACGGGAGGCAGCAGUGAGGAAUAUUGGUCAAUGGACGAGAGUCUGAACCAGCCAAAGUAGCGUGAAGGAUGACUGCCCUAUGGGUUGUAAACUUCUUUUAUAAGGGAAUAAAGUGAGGGACGUGUCCCUUUUUGUAUGUACCUUAUGAAUAAGGAUCGGCUAACUCCGUGCCAGCCGCCGC
This 482-nucleotide ribosomal RNA is filed under the name uncultured bacterium. RNAcentral's name for it is "bacterial SSU rRNA". It matches the Rfam family "Bacterial small subunit ribosomal RNA", at positions 45 to 518 of the family's 1533-position model. The record is from RNAcentral.